RNAcentral lists this ribosomal RNA (460 nucleotides) under uncultured bacterium. Its description in RNAcentral is "partial 16S ribosomal RNA". It matches the Rfam family "Bacterial small subunit ribosomal RNA", at positions 338 to 795 of the family's 1533-position model. The record is from RNAcentral.
CCUACGGGUGGCAGCAGUGAGGAAUAUUGGUCAAUGGGCGUAAGCCUGAACCAGCCAAGUCGCGUGAGGGAUGAAGGUUCUAUGGAUCGUAAACCUCUUUUAUAAGGGAAUAAAGUGUGGGACGUGUCCUAUUUUGUAUGUACCUUAUGAAUAAGGAUCGGCUAACUCCGUGCCAGCAGCCGCGGUAAUACGGAGGAUCCGAGCGUUAUCCGGAUUUAUUGGGUUUAAAGGGUGCGUAGGCGGCCUUUUAAGUCAGCGGUGAAAGUCUGUGGCUCAACCAUAAUAUUGCCGUUGAAACUGGUGGGCUUGAGUGGGUGAGAAGCAGGCGGAAUGCGUGGUGUAGCGGUGAAAUGCAUAGAUAUCACGCAGAACCCCGAUUGCGAAGGCAGCAUACCGACGCAUGACUGACGCUGAUGCACGAAAGCGUGGGUAUCGAACAGGAUUAGAUACCCGUGUAGUC